GUAUGAGAGGAUGAUGUAUCACACAGGUAGUAAGACACGGCCCUGACUCUUACGGGAGGCAGCAGUGGGGAAUUUGGACAAUGGGGGCAACCCUGAUCCAGCCAUGCCGCGUGAGUGAAGAAGACCUUCGGGUUGUAAAGCUCUUUCGGCGGGGAAGAAAUGGCAACGGCUAAUAUCCGUUGUUGAUGACGGUACCCGCAUAAGAAGCACCGGCUAACUACGUGCCAGCAGCCGCGGUAAUACGUAGGGUGCGAGCGUUAAUUGGAAUUACUGGGCGUAAAGCGUGCGCAGGCGGUUUCGUAAAACAGACGUGAAAUCCCCGGGCUCAACCUGGGAACUGCGUUUGUGACUGCGAGGCUAGAGUACGGCAGAGGGGGGUAGAAUUCCACGUGUAGCAGUGAAAUGCGUAGAGAUGUGGAGGAAUACCGAUGGCGAAGGCAGCCCCCUGGGUUAGUACUGACGCUCAUGCACGAAAGCGUGGGGAGCAAACAGGAUUAGAUACCCUGGUAGUCCACGCCCUAAACGAUGUCAACUAGGUGUUGGAAGGGUUAAACCUUUUAGUACCGCAGCUAACGCGUGAAGUUGACCGCCUGGGGAGUACGUCUUGCAAGGUUAAAACUCAAAGGAAUUGACGGAAUCGAAUUCCUU
This 648-nucleotide ribosomal RNA is filed under the name uncultured bacterium. RNAcentral's name for it is "bacterial SSU rRNA". It matches the Rfam family "Bacterial small subunit ribosomal RNA", at positions 290 to 929 of the family's 1533-position model. The record is from RNAcentral.